Long non-coding RNA from Girardinichthys multiradiatus, 1616 nucleotides. RefSeq lists it as uncharacterized. The transcript has 5 exons. The record is from RefSeq and is a predicted model, not a curated record. NCBI's taxonomy places the organism in Eukaryota, Metazoa, Chordata, Actinopteri, Cyprinodontiformes, Goodeidae.
UGAUCAAGUUUUUAUCUGAUCAAGUGUUUACAUAAAUGCUGUCACCACUGUCACCUGAUUGUUCUGCACGCCUAAUUUAAUAUAUAUAACCUAUACCUUACUGAUAACUGCACAGUAUUGUAUUUUUCCUCUCUUUUAUUGUAAAUCCCUUUCAGCCUUUUUGUGAUUGUUUUUUGCACUUUGUUUCUUAUAGCUUUUAGUUUGGGUAAGUUUUCUACUUUUUUAGAUAAAUAUGAACCUGUGUACUUUCAUUGCCUUAUGGUUUGGUGCUGACACACUCAAAUGUUCCUAUUGUGGAACAAUAAAGGUUUUCUAUUCUAAUUAAUUGAGAGAGAUAACCAUGACUUCUGAGAUCACGCAUAACCAAGUUACUGUUUGAAAAUGUAAUCUACAUUAUACUUUCAAAGAAGAAUAAACACUUCUGAUUUGGAAAAUUAACUUUAUGUUAUAAAUCACCACAGGCAAAAUAUGGCAUAUUUAACCAUCUAAGAACUUGUAACAAAGAACAUUAAAAUAGAACCUAUUUCUGGUCAGGAAUAUCAAACCAUGGCAAAAUGUAUUUGCCUUUUGAUCUGGGCUUCUCAGAAAUUUUCCCCCAAAAUGUGUUGAUUCACAGCAUUCAGUCUGCUGUGUAUAACGCUGCAUGUGGUUGUAUUGUCUUCUUUUCAGACACAGUCUUCACUAUAUUUGCCAGGUCAUCAUAAAGCUCCCACACACAUGGAGCUCUUCGGCAGUAUGCAAUGUAAUGUCCCAGACCAUCUUUAGUCAAGCUUCCCUUGAAAGCGAUGACUCCUCUCAAAGAGAAUGUCUUUCCUUGGAGAGCAACAGUGGGGGGAAAUUCACUCAAAGGAAACUGAGUUGUGUUUGCAAGUGGGCGAAGGCAGGGAGACUCCGGAAGGAAGAGUCCAUUUUCCACUGAAAUGUCAAGCUGAGCCAUGCCAGAGUCCAUCAGCACAGAAAUGUCAGGAGAAACAAAUGUGGCUGAGCUUGCUGUGAGGUUGGUGCUUUUGAAGAGGGGGACCAUUACUCCUGUCCAAAGUGCCGUGUAGGUCAGUCUGGAUCUCGUCAAAAGAAUCCACUUGAUGCAUUUCAUUUGGAUCUUCAGCUGGAAUGAUGAUGGAGUCUUCUGUGAUCUGGGCAGUCCCACUGACAGAUCAUCUUUAUGCAGUGUGCCACAUCAACCCUGAUAAAACAAGGAGGAAGUUUUGCAGACUGGUUCCCAAGUAGCAAACGGAAGCAUUCGUUAAUGUAUGUCUUCAGAUUGGGGUAAGGAGUGAAGGCCUUCACCAGAGCACCAAGAAUAGCCAGAGAAAAGUCACUCACGGCUUCCUUUGGUAUAGCAGCACCUGUACGAAGCCAUUCUGUCAGCCAUGUUGCAAUUGCAUUAAUGUCGUGUCUCUCUGACAGCAUUUGCACAACUGGGACUGAGCAGUUGUCCCCUGUCAGAACGCCUUGAUAUAAGAAGAUGUGGCCAGAUGUACCAUUUGGUCUCACCAGUCUUCUCACAACUGAGCCAGUUGCGUCAAAGCAAACUACUGAGGGGCAUUUUUUGGACAAUGCCUUAUACACAUGUAGCUGUGUUUGACUCCAAUAGUGGCAGAAGAACUUGUCUAGAC